AAUAAAAUGGCUGAGUAUAAAGCGAUAAAUUGUAAAUUUAUUUACGAGAAAGUUCUCUUUUAUUA
RNAcentral lists this transfer RNA (65 nucleotides) under Lepidoptera sp. 1 TS-2018. RNAcentral describes it as "tRNA-Tyr". It matches the Rfam family "tRNA". Rfam says of the family: Transfer RNA (tRNA) molecules are approximately 80 nucleotides in length. Lineage: Eukaryota; Metazoa; Arthropoda; Insecta; Lepidoptera. The record is from RNAcentral.